ACACAAUUCUAAUGGGUUGGGGUAUCAAGUGCUACCUGGCUGGAUCUCUCAGGAGCAUGGAUUCUCUCAGGAGGUUAUAGGCAAACUAUCAGCCAUCUUGUCCACGGUCAUAUGGAGCCAUGGUCUUCAUACCCUGUACCAGCCAGCACCAGUUGACAGUGAGUUAUGCUGAGCAGACACUACUGUGGACAGAUAAGCAAGCUGUCCAGCUACCCCAGUAACCUCUCAAACAGUCUCCCUGUGAAGAAGACAGACCCAGGUCUCUGGGUGGGAGGCUGCCAACUUUUUGGAAAAGGCCUUUCCUGCAACUACUGUGUGGGCCUCGGCAAAGGCGAGGGUGACGGGAACAGCAAGGUUUCAUGGGAGAUAUCACCAACAGUAACAGUUUUAAACAUU
RNAcentral lists this long non-coding RNA (396 nucleotides) under Mus caroli (Ryukyu mouse). RNAcentral describes it as "lncRNA (MGP_CAROLIEiJ_G0006397.1)". The record is from RNAcentral. Lineage: Eukaryota; Metazoa; Chordata; Mammalia; Rodentia; Muridae.